RNAcentral lists this ribosomal RNA (891 nucleotides) under Pandoraea pnomenusa. RNAcentral describes it as "bacterial SSU rRNA". It matches the Rfam family "Bacterial small subunit ribosomal RNA", at positions 1 to 881 of the family's 1533-position model. The record is from RNAcentral. Lineage: Bacteria; Pseudomonadati; Pseudomonadota; Betaproteobacteria; Burkholderiales; Burkholderiaceae.
UUAAUUAGAGAUUUCUGGUCUGACUCAGAUGAGCGUGCAGGCUAUCCUAGCCAUUCAGUCGUACGCAGUUCAGGUGCUGCACUGGUGCGGACUGGCGAACCGGUUGAGUACUACAUCGGAACGUCCGAUGUAGGUGGGGGAAUACCUCGGCGAAGCUAGAAUUAAUACCGCAUACGUCUCCUGAGGACGAAAGCAGGGGGACCUUUCAGGCCUUCGUGCAUACAAGAGCGCCCAGAUAUCAGAUGAGUUAUGUUGGUGGGGUAAGAGUCUCACCAAGGCGACGAUCUGUAGCUGUUCUGAGAGGACGACCACCCACACUGGGAGUGAGACACGUCCCAGACUCUUGCGGGAGGCAGCAGUGGGGAAUUUUGGACAAUGGGGGAAACCGUGAUCCAGCAAUCCCGCGUGUGUGAAGAAGCCUUUGGGGUUGUAAAGCACUUUUGUCCGGAGAGAAAUCGUGUGGGUUAAUACCUCGUGAGGAUGCCGGUCUCGCAAGAAUAACCCCCGGUUAAUUACGUCCCACCACCCGCGUAAAUACGUAGGGUCCAAGCGUUAUUGGGAAUUAUUGGGCGUAAAGCGUGCGCAGGCGGUUUUUAAAUCCGGAUGUAAAUUCCCGGGGUUCACCCUGGGAAUUGCAUUGGUGACUGCAAGGUUAGAGUAUGUCAGAGGGGGGUAGAUUUCCGCGUGUAGCAGUGAAAUGGGUAGAGAUGGGGGGGAAUCCCGAUGGGGAAGGCAGCCCCCGGGGGCAAUACUGACGUUCAUGCAGGAAAGCGUGGGGAGCAAACAGGAUUAGAUACCCUGGUAGUCCACGCCCUAAACGAGUCAACUAGUUGUUGGGGCAUUCAUUUCCUUAGUAACGUAGCUAACGCGUGAAGUGACCGCAUGGAGUCU